Thunnus maccoyii (southern bluefin tuna) is the source of this 72-nucleotide non-coding RNA. NCBI's taxonomy places the organism in Eukaryota, Metazoa, Chordata, Actinopteri, Scombriformes, Scombridae. The record is from the annotation of a RefSeq genome assembly.
GGCGUGGUGGCCGAGCGGUAAGGCGUUGGUCUCGUAAACCAAACAUCACAGGUUUGAUUCCUGUCCGUGCCU